RNAcentral lists this ribosomal RNA (253 nucleotides) under uncultured bacterium. RNAcentral describes it as "partial 16S ribosomal RNA". It matches the Rfam family "Bacterial small subunit ribosomal RNA", at positions 524 to 776 of the family's 1533-position model. The record is from RNAcentral.
UACGGAGGGUGCAAGCGUUAUCCGGAUUUACUGGGUUUAAAGGGUGCGCAGGCGGAUAUGUAAGUCAGUGGUGAAAUCUCUGGGCUUAACCCGGAAAUUGCCAUUGAUACUAUAUAUCUUGAAUGCUGUGGAGGUAAGCGGAAUAUGUCAUGUAGCGGUGAAAUGCUUAGAGAUGACAUAGAACACCUAUUGCAAAGGCAGCUUACUACGCAGAUAUUGACGCUCAUGCACGAAAGCGUGGGGAUCAAACAGG